RNAcentral lists this ribosomal RNA (417 nucleotides) under uncultured bacterium. Its description in RNAcentral is "bacterial SSU rRNA". It matches the Rfam family "Bacterial small subunit ribosomal RNA", at positions 355 to 771 of the family's 1533-position model. The record is from RNAcentral.
UAAGGAAUAUUGCUCAAUGGGAGAAAUCCUGAAGCAGCAACGCCGCGUGGAGGAUGAAGGGUCUAUGACUUGUAAACUCCUGUAAAGAAGGAAAAAAUUCCCAUUAGAUGGGAGAUGAUGGUACUUCUGGAGUAAGCCCCGGCUAACUACGUGCCAGCAGCCGCGGUAAUACGUAGGGGGCAAGCGUUGUCCGGAUUUACUGGGUGUAAAGGGUGCUCAGGCGGAUUUGUAAGUCAGAGGUGAAAUCUUACAGCUUAACUGUGAAACUGCCUUUGAUACUGCAAGCCUAGAGUAUGGAAGAGAGUGAUGGAAUAUCUGGUGUAGCAGUGAAAUGCGUAGAUAUCAGAUAGAACACCAAUGGCGAAGGCAGUCACUUGGUCCAUUACUGACGCUAAAGCACGAAAGCGUGGGUAGCAA